Molecule: RNA transcript, 4581 nt
Organism: Cucumis melo (muskmelon)
Lineage: Eukaryota; Viridiplantae; Streptophyta; Magnoliopsida; Cucurbitales; Cucurbitaceae
Exons: 5
Source: RefSeq, a predicted model, not a curated record
AGUAAAUGAGAUGUUUAAGAAUCAAAUAUAAUAAUUAUACCUAAAAUCGUUUGUUUGGUUUAGUCUCACUGUUCCAACCAUCAUUCCCAGCAUAAUAGAGUACCAAAUUUCCCCCAACUUUCGGAUGUCAGGGGAAUGCUUUGAUUUGAGAUUCUCAAACUCAUUAUUGCAAAUUAUUAAUUAAAGAAAGCCCUAACUUUGCGUCCAGCUCUCUGUUUAAUCUUCAACGCAAUUUCUCCAUCUCCCGAAGAAUUCGAAAGUUACUUCUCAGAAGUUAGUGAGAAUUUGGUGUUGGAUUAAACUGAUAAAAGAUCAAGAAACUGUGUUGAGCCUCUGAGGUCUUGGAAUAAUGACUCUUGUAGAAAGUGAAGAGGUUGGUUUUAAGCGCACUGAGCUGUCAGCUAGUGAUUAUGAUGCAAUUCUUCCUAUCAAGAAAAGGAGAUUUCCGGUAGUGCAGUUUCCUCCAUCUCCAUCUAAAGAUUUACCUCUAUCUCCAUCUAAAGAUUUACCUCCAUCCCCAUCUAAAGAUUUACCUCCAUCUCCAUCUAAAAAUUUACCUCCAUCUCCAUCUAAAGAUUUACCUCCAUUCCAUUCAGAUGGAAAUUUAUUGAAGGCUGAGCAGCCAUCUCCUCCUAAAGAUCUAUCUUCUUUGAAUCGCAAUGAAAGUUUAAUAAAGACUGAGCAGCCAUCUCCUCCUAAAGAACCAUCUUCUUUGAAUCGCAAUGAAAGUUUAAUAAAGACCGAGCAGCCAUCUCCUUCUGAAGAUCUAUCUUCUUUUAACCGCAAUGAAAAUUUAAUAAAGACUGAGCAGCCGAUUCUAUCUAUGACAAUAGUUUCAAGUUCUAGUGUUGUCACAAGUUCUGCAUUGUUGAAUAAUAACCAGGACAAUGUUUCUGAAGAGAAGAAAGGAAAAUCUGAUAGCGAUUCAUGUUGUGUAGACUUAGUCCAGAGCGAUAUUGGCACGGCAGGAGUCAAGUUUCAAGAACCCAAUUUGCGGGUACAUGCUUAUAUUAAUUGUUUUGAUGAAUAUAAAGGUAAAUCCUUGGUAACUGUAAAACACACCAUUCGUACAUCACCAGAGAUCUAUGGGGGGUCAAACUUAUCGUCAACUAGCCUUGAUUCUGAUCCUCUUGCUGAUAACAAAGAGGAAGAAAUUGAUGUAAAAAUGCCUGAAGAAAAUUGCAGCCCUCCAAUUUGUGAAGUUGGAGGAGGAGCUGGAGUAUCGGUAGGUUUGAACUGUCAUAUGGAUCUGAAAUUAGUUCCUGAAAAGAGUGAUUUGAAUUUCCUGAAGCAGGAUUCUGUGGAACCUGUUUUACUGGACUUCUCUUUAAACAAGCAUGGAAGUAGCACCCAAUGUGUCAAAGAUAACGUAGGGUCUGAUUGUGAUGGUCCUCUUUUGCAGUUGAACAGGGAAAAGUGGGAUCUUAAUACCUCAAUGGAAUCAUGGGAGGGUUGUACUAGUGGUGAUUCACCUGUAGCGAAGAUGUCUGCCACUAAGACAAAUACAACUAUUGAAACUUAUGCUUGCUCAUCUGCAAUGGUGGAAAGUGACAGUCCAUGCGGAAAACAAACCCUUUUAGAUAGUGAAGAUAAAGACAACUCUAUUUAUGCAUGCAUGCCAUCAAAAGGGCAUCUUCAUUUAAGUCUGGAUUCAUCUUAUCUGAAGCCUGUAGUUGAAGAAGACCCUUAUAUUUCUGAAUAUGAAUCAGAUGGUAACUGGGAUAUAGCUGAGGCUGUUGAUGAUGAUGAUAAUGAUAAUCAUUUAGAAGAAGACUACGAAGAUGGGGAGGUCCGGGAGACAUUGCAGGAAACUGAAGUAGAAGUCCAUGCAUAUGAGAAAAGAGAAAUUGAGCCUUUGGAUCAUGCUGGUUGUGAUGACAAAAAGAUCAAUACCAUUAGAUUGCCGGAUCAUGAACUUCUUGCUUUAGGCCCUCUUGAACAGGAAACUAAACCAGAAAAUCUGGAUCAUAGAAGUGAAGAUGAUGUCCGGACUACAACUAAAAGUAAAUCUUAUGAGCAAGAAAAUGAAGAUCUUUGUGUGAAAGAAUUGCAUGCCGUAGAGAAUUCUAUUAGUGGGGAUGUAAACAGACCUGUGAAGGCCACAGGAAGAGGCCAAUUAUUUCAGUAUGAUAAAAAGCACAACUUUGAGGCACAUGACACCGCGGAUGAAAUCGUUGAUGAGGAACUGAUUCCUACAUUUUCUCAGGGUGAGAUGGAGAAUGCUGUAGCAGUAGAUGUAGUGCAGAAUAGGGAUCUAACUUUGCCUACUGUAAAGGAGUCUGUAAACGGAAAUGAUGCAAAGGAUAUCAAUGGAGGCACUAGAAAUAGUCGGAUAAUUAAUUUUAAUCGAGUAUCUACUGAUUCAACUCCUUGUAAGGAAAAAUCUAGUUUUGCCAGGUCGGUUUUACCACAUAAGGAGAGAGAGUUUGUACCCAACAUGGCAGUUGAAGGAGCAAAUAUGCAACCUCAAGAAAGAGAUGAUGCGUACAGUAAUAUUACCAAGAAAAUUUCUAUAGACAAACGUGAAGGCCAGCCACCAUUGAUGGGUUUUAGUCAUAGAAGAGGGAGAAGUACCAAUAGGCUGGACAACCGAUCUGAGGAAUGGGAUUUUGGUCCCAACUUUUCUCCAGAAACAUACAGUGAACAACAGAUAGAUUACCAUGGUCCUGGUCUUGAUCAAAAUCGAUAUAAGAUUACACCAGAUGGUCCAUUUGGUGGUGCUAACCGACGUGGUAGAGAAUUGCUAGAGGAUGAGGAACCUUUUUUUUUUCAUGGGCCCUCAAGGAGGAAGUCAUUUGGAAGAAGACAUGGUCCGAAUGUAGGUGGUGGAAAAAUGGUUUACAAAAUACCUAGAGAUUUUAGUCCAGGUAGAUGCAUGGAUGAAGGUGGCUCUUUUGAUCGACAACAUGGUGAAAAGUUCUCUAGGAAUUUUGCUGAUGACACAGUGGAUCUGAUGUAUCCACGACCUCAACCUCCAUACGACAUAGACAAACCCUUCUUCCGGGAAAGAAGGAACUUCUCAUUCCAAAGAAAAUCUUUUCCCAGAAUUGAUUCUAAAUCUCCAGUAAGAGCCAGGGCUCGCUCCCCCAGCCAAUGGUUCUCUUCAAAAAGAUCUGAUAGAUUUUGUGAACGUUCCGAUAUGACACAUCGAAGGUCUCCAAAUUAUAGGUCGGAAAGGAUGAGAUCUCCUGAUCAUCGUCCUAUACGUGGGCAUAUGCCACCGGGCAGAAGACAAGGAUUCCAUUUCCUUUCAGCAUCUGAUGAAUUGAGGGAUGUGGGUCCUGCACCUGACCAUGGCCACAUGAGGUCUAUUAUCCCCGAUAGGAAUCAGACUGAAAGGUUACCACUUAGAAAUAGAAGCUAUGAUGCUAUAGAUCCUCAAGGAAGGAUUGAAAACGACAAUUUUUUUUAUGGUCCUCCUGUACGCUUGGGUCAAUUGACUGGGUACAAUGAUGGCGAACCAGAUGACGACGAAAGAAGAUUUAAUGAGAGACAUGAACCUCUUUAUUCUUUUAAGCAUCCAUUUGGUGAUUCUGAUGGUGAGAGAUUCCGAAACAACAGGGAGGAUUGUUCUAGGCCUUUUAGAUUUUGUCCAGGGAAUGACCCAAGAAUUUCAUGGAAGAGAAGGUAGCUUUUGGGGAGAGAGAUCGAGUUAAAAAUCUCUACCAAGGGAGAGGAGAUUGCUUUAGAGUUUUUGGCAUACACUUUUUCUCAAGCCAAAAUCACUUUUGCACAAAAAUAUGAUGUUUGGCAUCUAAUAAAAAUGAUUUUAGAAAAAUAUGAAAUCACUCAAAAUUGAUUUGGGAAGUAUCAGCUGGCUAGUGAUUGUGGAGGGUGAUUAACCGGGAAUCACCAUUCUUAUUUUAUUUAGUUUUUAGAAUACCCAAAACCCUUCAUUCAAUAAGGAUACCAAACCCUAAUUUCAAACUCCUCCAUCCUCUCCAGUCCAGCUGCUUUGACUGCCUCUCAACCCCCUUUGCCAUCUCAUUGUUCUGAACGACCGUCUCUCCGAAGAUUGUGAGGUAUCAGUUAGCUGUCACCUCUCUCCGUCUCGUGAUUGUUCUUCUAUCUUGCAGGUUUAGAAGUUGAGCAUUGUUGACAAUUAAGUGAAUAUGCUUUCAUUGUUGAAGAGGUUCAAAGCUAAAUGCUUCUUCCAAACAGUAUAUAACUUGGGGAUGGAGUUAUACAAAAGGAAGUUUUCAUUCGACAAGCUUCUAUAUUAUUAAUAAACUCAAAUGACAAGAGAGUUAUAUUUUGGAAAUAAUAGAGAAGUUUAGAAAUGGGGGGAGAGAGGUGAUCAAUAGGUGCACCCGGACAUCUCAAUUACAACCCCAUAGCACGCUCAUCAUAUCCAAAAUACAAGGAUUCAAAAGGAAGUUGUUCACAAUAGAGUAUUAAAAGCUAAGGUCCUGUUUGGUAGGGAAUCUAGAUUUUGUUUUAUGUUUUCAGAUUCACAGAGUUGAAUCGACAUGCAUAUCCAAACAAUGCAAAUUUUAAAAACACAUUGUAUUUGGAAUUUGAAUUUUACAUUCUAAAAAGCAGAAUUAUAUUAAAUAUAUAUAAAAAUAUUUAGAAAUACAA